This 404-nucleotide ribosomal RNA is filed under the name uncultured cyanobacterium. RNAcentral describes it as "bacterial SSU rRNA". It matches the Rfam family "Bacterial small subunit ribosomal RNA", at positions 370 to 788 of the family's 1533-position model. The record is from RNAcentral. Lineage: Bacteria; Bacillati; Cyanobacteriota.
AAUGGGCGAAAGCCUGACGGAGCAAGACCGCGUGAGGGAGGAAGGCUCUUGGGUUGUAAACCUCUUUUCUUGGGGAAGAACAAAAUGACGGUACCCAAGGAAUCAGCAUCGGCUAACUCCGUGCCAGCAGCCGCGGUAAUACGGAGGAUGCAAGCGUUAUCCGGAAUUAUUGGGCGUAAAGCGUCCGCAGGUGGCACUUCAAGUCUGCUGUCAAAGACCGGGGCUUAACCCUGGAAAGGCAGUGGAAACUGAAGAGCUAGAGUGUCGUAGGGGUAGAGGGAAUUCCUGGUGUAGCGGUGAAAUGCGUAGAGAUCAGGAAGAACAUCGGUGGCGAAAGCGCUCUACUGGACGACAACUGACACUCAGGGACGAAAGCUAGGGGAGCGAAUGGGAUUAGAUACCCC